UGAACUCAAUGGCUAAGUUGUGCAAUAC
This 28-nucleotide non-coding RNA is filed under the name Bombyx mori (domestic silkworm). Lineage: Eukaryota; Metazoa; Arthropoda; Insecta; Lepidoptera; Bombycidae. The record is from RNAcentral.